This 47-nucleotide non-coding RNA is filed under the name Schistosoma margrebowiei. The record is from RNAcentral. Lineage: Eukaryota; Metazoa; Platyhelminthes; Trematoda; Strigeidida; Schistosomatidae.
AUUAGCUGACGAGUCCCAAACAGGACGAAAUGCGCAUCAAAUUGGAU